This 622-nucleotide ribosomal RNA is filed under the name uncultured Glomeromycotina. RNAcentral's name for it is "eukaryotic LSU rRNA". It matches the Rfam family "Eukaryotic large subunit ribosomal RNA", at positions 293 to 766 of the family's 3401-position model. The record is from RNAcentral. Lineage: Eukaryota; Fungi; Glomeromycota.
UGGGAGGUAAAUUUCUCCUAAGGCUAAAUACCGGCGAGAGACCGAUAGCGAACAAGUACCGUGAGGGAAAGAUGAAAAGAAUUUUGAAAAGAAAGUUAAACAGUACGUGAAAUUGUUGAAAGGGAAACGAUUGAAGCCAGUCGUACCGACGGGAAAUCAACUUCUCGAGUGUCUAUCAUGGGUGACGUUGAGCUUAACGGCCUUCGAUGCUUAUGUUGUUGGUGCUUUUGCGGUGUACUUUUCCGUAUGGUAGGUCAGCAUCGAUUUUAAUCGUCAUAAAAUGAUCGGGGGAAUGUAGCUUCGGUCUCGUAUCGGAGUGUUAUAGACCUUGGUAGAUGUGACGAUUGGGAUCGAGGAUUGCAACGAAUACCCUCUGGGCUAUCCGUCUGUCCUCUGAAAGUCGCUCGGGUGUCGAAAGCUUGCUUAUGGUUAUCUAAGUUAACGGUCAAUAGGUUAGAACGUGAUUACAUUCGUUAAGGAUGUUGGCGUAACGGCUUUAAACGACCCGUCUUGAAACACGGACCAAGGAGUCUAACAUAUAUGCGAGUGUUCGGGUGUGUAAACCCCUACGCGUAAUGAAAGUAAUUUAGGUGAGAUCGCUUUUUUGUGUGCACUAUCGACC